This 492-nucleotide ribosomal RNA is filed under the name uncultured bacterium. Its description in RNAcentral is "partial 16S ribosomal RNA". It matches the Rfam family "Bacterial small subunit ribosomal RNA", at positions 29 to 507 of the family's 1533-position model. The record is from RNAcentral.
AGUGAACGCUGGCGGUAGGCCUAAUACAUGCAAGUCGAACGGCCGCACAGUAAGCUCUUGCUUUUACCGGUGGCGACUGGCGGACGGGUGACGCGUACAUCAGCUUCUACUUUUUCUUGGAUGAUUUCGUAGGGACACUUCUGCUACUACCUCAUACGAUCUACGGCUUAAUUCAGUAGAUCUUCGCACCUUUCCUGUUUCUUUUAGCUGGUGUCGCAUUAGCUAGUUGGCUAGGUAACGGCCCACCAAGGCGACGAUGCGUAGCUGAUCUGAGAGGAUGAUCGGCCACACUGGAACUGAGACACGGUCCAGACUCCUACGGGAGGCAGCAGUAGGGAAUAUUGGACAAUGGGCGAAAGCCUGAUGGAGCCAUGCCGCGUGAGUGAAGAAGGUCUUCGGAUUGUAAAACCCUGUUGUUAGGAAAGAAAAGAUGUAGAAGAAAACCCGGAUGUUCUGACGGUACCUAAAGAGAAAGCAACGGCUAACUUCGUG